GUGAUUGGCCUCACGGCCGUUUCAUUUUCCAACCUCUGUGAACUGUGGCCUCCGGGCCGUAUCUUUAAACAUGGUGUAAAGAAUGUAUCUUAUCAUAAACAAACA
This 105-nucleotide unclassified non-coding RNA is filed under the name uncultured Basidiomycota. RNAcentral's name for it is "sequence contains ITS1". Lineage: Eukaryota; Fungi; Basidiomycota. The record is from RNAcentral.